This is a long non-coding RNA of Oreochromis aureus, 388 nucleotides long. The record is from Ensembl. NCBI's taxonomy places the organism in Eukaryota, Metazoa, Chordata, Actinopteri, Cichliformes, Cichlidae.
CGGGAUGAGGUGGUGCAGCCGCCCGGCAGGUGGCUGAAUGAAGAGGCAGGGAUUCCACUGGAUUAAUCAUCACAAACAGGAGGGGAGUUGUACAUUAAUUCUGGACAUUCAAUUCUUGACAGAAUGAACAUCAUCCAUAUCUACCUGCUGCUGGGUCUAGCUGCAUUUGUUCUCCAAGUUGAUUCGCUUCAAGGGUCAAAAGUCUACCUCGGAGAAUCUGUGCUGCUGAAGUGCACAGUUGAGUCAAACUCCACUGCUGAGUGGAGCUUUGAGUGGGACAAACCAAAAACUGUUCUGACCCUGAACCCCAGGCAUCUGGUCUCAAAUGACAGCUACUUCAUCACCGCUGUAACAAGGGAGGAUGCGGGCAGCUACAGGUGCAAAGCAG